Molecule: ribosomal RNA, 498 nt
Filed under: uncultured bacterium
Lineage: Bacteria
Description: partial 16S ribosomal RNA
Rfam family: Bacterial small subunit ribosomal RNA
Source: RNAcentral
AUUGAACGCUGGCGGCAGGCCUAACACAUGCAAGUCGAGCGGAUGAAGGAGCUUGCUCCUGAUUCAGCGGCGGACGGGUGAGUAAUGCUUAGGAAUCUGCCUAUUAGUGGGGGAUAACUCGGGGAAACUCGGGCUAAUACCGCAUACGUCCUACGGGAGAAAGUGGGGGAUCUUCGGACCUCAUGCUAAUAGAUGAGCCUAGGUCGGAUUAGCUAGUUGGUGAGGUAACGGCUCACCAAGGCGACGAUCCGUAGCUGGUCUGAGAGGAUGAUCAGCCACACUGGAACUGAGACACGGUCCAGACUCCUACGGGAGGCAGCAGUGGGGAAUAUUGGACAAUGGGCGAAAGCCUGAUCCAGCCAUGCCGCGUGUGUGAAGAAGGUCUUCGGAUUGUAAAGCACUUUAAGUUGGGAGGAAGGUCUGUAAGCUAAUACCUUGCAGUCUUGACGUUACCAACAGAAUAAGCACCGGCUAACUCUGUGCCAGCAGCCGCAGUAA